This is a long non-coding RNA of Pipistrellus kuhlii (Kuhl's pipistrelle), 1774 nucleotides long. RefSeq lists it as uncharacterized. The record is from RefSeq and is a predicted model, not a curated record. NCBI's taxonomy places the organism in Eukaryota, Metazoa, Chordata, Mammalia, Chiroptera, Vespertilionidae. The transcript has 3 exons.
ACAGGCGCCGCGCGGGCCGCCCGCCCCGCGCCCUCGCUGCCUCAGAGCCUUCUGGGAAAUGUAGUCCUGCGGGAGGUGCCGCUGCCCACCGAAUUUGCAGCGAGAGCUCCUCGGAAAUGCACAAUGAUGGGGGGGAAAAGAGACGAAAGCCCUAGGACCUCCUCCCCAGACCCCUGUGCACACAUUCUUCCUGCUGCCGCCCCACUCUCUCAAGUUCACCGCACACGCGCCCCAGCUCCCCACCCCACCCCCGACCCUCGAGCCGCGCCCCCGCCCCCCGCGGGCUGGCGCCUCUGCUCCGGCAGGCGGCUGCGGAGCAACUCCGCUCCCCUGUAGAUCGAGCUGGGUAGGUGCAGGGAGGUGGGCGCUGCGAAUCAGAAGGGCAAGGGGAGGGGGGAGCCUGCAGGAUGCGCUGAAGGACACAGGGGUUGGCGUGGGGGAGGGUCCUUCUCUGUGGGAACCCCACGCGGCCCCGGCGCGGAGCAGAGGGUUGGAGUGGCGAGGUCCGGGCUGGAGCGGACCUGGCGGAGCUGACCGUGAUCACCUGUCAGGAUGACAGAAGGCUGUCUCGGAGCCAGAGCUAGCCCCGGAACUGGGUUUGCAGCUUCUCUGCUGAUCGUCUCUCUCUCCUCCUGAGCGAUCGAUACCCUGGACUGCCUCUUCCCAAACCCCGGCUGGACCCUCACUCCAUCCAUCACUUUGGCUUCUUUCCCUGAAGAAUAUUUUUCUCUGCGGGAAGGGCUUCUACCAGAGCCUCGGCAUGGGGAGAUUUCUCAUCAGAUCUGUCCUUUCCCUUGCUACGCCUGGGAAAGACCUUCAUUAUCCACCUCUCUCUUUUUCUCAGCUGAUAACGUUUCUUUCCACCCUCACACAGUCAAGAGACAAAAGCCUGCCCUUCCCCAUCACAUCAGAAGAAAGCUGUGAAUUCUCCUAUUCCUCCUCAGCCCCUCACAGGUCACCCCAUAUUCCUGCCUUCCGCUAAGGGGGAAUAGCAUCGGAGGCAAAUAAGUCCAAGACUUCAGGACCUCUCAGAUUCCUUCUCACUUUCCCCUCCAGAAUGAUCUCUGAGGACAGGGAAUCUUAGCUGGAGAACCCGAGAGGACCCCCUAGGGUGUCCAGGAUCCUGGUGAGGUUGAACGUAAUAUUGUGCCCAGGUGUAUUUCUCUAGGGAAGGUAAAUGCAGCCUGUGACGGUCAGCGGGGAGAGAGGUGCGAAUGGGUUCAGCAAGAACCUUUCUGGUGAAGAGGGCAAGCAUAUGGCCCCCCUCGACUCCGGCAGGAAGCUUGUCUGGGUCACAGAUGGUAGGAGAACAAAUGAAGACGGCAUGUGGAGGCCCCUCUCUCUCUCUCUCUCUCUCUCUCUCUCUCUCUCUCUCUCUCUCACACACACACACACCUUUUGAGUUGUCUCUAAAUUUGCUAAUGAGCCUCGGUCUCUUUGGACCAAUUGAUGUUACCAAGAGCGAUGUCACCAGGAGCCGCUCUUCAGUCUGCAGAUUCUACAGCGUGGGGUGCCGAGGGGAGAGGGGCAGAAGGAUGUGUUGGUGGGAAUGCAGGUAUUUGUCCAAACACGGAAAGCGAGGGGAGGGAGAAGGAGAAAGAAUCCUCGGCGGGGCUCCAGGCUCGGCUCCUUCGUGGCAAAUGCUGGAAGCACGGUUUAUUCCAAUGUGUGGUAACAAGCACCAGAAAACAACACACAGUGUUCUCCUCCCGCCCACGCAGGCGAUCAGAGACGGGAAACCUGGGGCCACGAUGGCGGGGGGAGCUCUGCUCAG